Long non-coding RNA from Tyto alba (common barn owl), 681 nucleotides. RefSeq lists it as uncharacterized. The record is from RefSeq and is a predicted model, not a curated record. The transcript has 2 exons. NCBI's taxonomy places the organism in Eukaryota, Metazoa, Chordata, Aves, Strigiformes, Tytonidae.
ACGUAUAAGCUUGAAGUUGAACUUCAUGCCGUGCUACGUUAAAGGAGGAGUUUCUCAAUUGCGCAGACACCGCAUCUGGCACUACCAAAUUGCAGUUAUUUAACGCGAGUGCCCUUCAAGAGGUAGGAAAAACGUCAAAACCAGGGUCUGAGGCGGCAGGAGGCCACCCGGGGCGGGAAUACGAGCGUUGCGGUGCGCCCUCCGGCUCCCCUCGCACCUCUCCUCAGAAACUGAGGAACCACCUGAGGUAGGCAGCUCUGAGAUCCGAGCGGAGCCUAAGCUUUUACAUUUUACAUAUUAAGCCCUAUUUCUUAACAGCAACAAAGUGCUGGAGCAAACUACUAUGGAAUAGUAGCACCAUUGUUUCCGAAAAGGCGAAUAAAGCCACCCAACGCGCCGGCAGAACUCAGAGUAACCAAGCUCCCUCAGAACAUUCCCGCCUCCGGCCCGCCACCACCCCAGCGCUUCCCUCGCGCGCAACCGCAUCAGCACGUUCCCCACCCCCGUGCUUGACUCCUAUUGGUCGAAACGAGGAGGGGCGGGGUGCCGGGGCGUCGGUUGCUCUAUAAAAAGGAGCUCCGCGGGAAUUCGGCCUUUCGGUCAGCACGGCUGGUGGAGGGCUUGUGUGGCGACCGCCGGCGGCGGGGAGCGGCCUGGCAAAUAAAAGCUGUGUCCACCCCG